AAAGAUUGGAUAUAGGGCCGAUAAAUAAGGUUUAAGGUCACUAUCAGCAGUUCAAAUGACCAUUUGGAAGCCAAGAAUAGUCAGAAUCAAAGAUUAUAUUACAAAUAACGAUCAUUAUUUCAUAAUCGUUGCAAUUACAACAGGUUUUCUUUCGAUGGACUUCUAUUGGAUAAACUUCUUCCAAAAUAAUCUAAUGGUUAUCGAUCUGAUUAUGUUUGAUUCAGCCAAGAAAUUUGCAACACGAAAACCACUAAGAAUAUCCCACAUAUAGGAGAUGAGAAUGGAG
Lucilia sericata (common green bottle fly) is the source of this 286-nucleotide long non-coding RNA. RefSeq lists it as uncharacterized. Lineage: Eukaryota; Metazoa; Arthropoda; Insecta; Diptera; Calliphoridae. The record is from RefSeq and is a predicted model, not a curated record. The transcript is spliced from 3 exons.